Passer montanus (Eurasian tree sparrow) is the source of this 1060-nucleotide long non-coding RNA. RefSeq lists it as uncharacterized. Lineage: Eukaryota; Metazoa; Chordata; Aves; Passeriformes; Passeridae. The transcript has 3 exons. The record is from RefSeq and is a predicted model, not a curated record.
CUGGAUUGUUCAAAACAAUAGGGAGAAAUUUCCAACAUAAGGCACUGUUCAUGUGGGGACUCCUUGCCACGGUAUGCUAUGGGCUUGUGUUUACAUGGUUCAAAAAUAAUUUGGACAAAUUCAUGGAUAAAAACCUCCUAAGGCUAUUAAAAACCAGAACAUACCUUCUUGCUCUGAAAGGUAUUUCAGCUCAAGGCUUUCUGAGCUGCAGGUUAUGAGAAACCAGGGAGAAAUAUGUUUAAAAGGGCUUAUUAGGCUAGCUAGACCUCAGAAAAGCAGGUUACAAAAACCAUUGAGGGCCUUAUAGUGUGUGGUAGAAGAUGAUAUAGUAGAAUGACCUCCCUGCUCAUCCAAAUUUUAGGCUGAUUUUAAGGAGACACUUAGGGCACUGCACAACUAAAGCAGCCAGAAUUUUCUCUCCCUCUGUCUGAGAUGGGCUCAGGCAAAGACCCCCCAUGUUAGCAGGGGCUGUCCAUCACCACAGAGCUGGGAGAGUUUUCUGGCCAAGAUUUCUUGCAGGUUUGCUCAGAAGAUGAGGUUGAAUCCAUCCAGACCUAGCCCACUUCCUUCUGGGAGAGGACAGCAGGAGAGAAUGUUGAUACAACAGUGGAGGAGAGAGGCAGAGGAAGGCAACCAGUGCAAUGGCUAUCAGAGGGACAGGAACUCCAUUUUCUCACACUGUCACUCCAGCCCUGGACUGCACCAACGUUGCUGAAGCUGAUGCUUUAAUAUAAAGCAACUUGUGCAUUGCAACAAGGAAACUCAGCCAAAUGAGAGAGCACCUAUCUCAGAAAUGAGAACGACUGCCAGGCUCUCCUGGCUUCGGUUCUGCCCGCGCAGCUCCCGUGGAGGCUCAGGAGAUGGGCAGCAGCCAGCACUGAUCAUGUUCCAGCCACUCUCUCCUCUUCCCCAUGGCCUUGCUGAGAGCUGAGCACUUUGGAGCAGCAGUUUGGAGCAGCGGGAGCUCAGGGGCUGAGCUGCAAGAGGAGAGCUGCUCCCCACCAGCCAUGCCCACCACCUUCCUUCAGGUGUGCCAGGGCAGAGGGGGGCUGCAAACCAA